AUGGCGGCCGCGACGGCGACGGCGACGGCGGCGGACGAUGAGGCGCGCCUGCUGCGGCUGGAGGAGCAGGCGGAGCACGGCGGCGGCGGCGCCUGGGAGUACCUCUCCCUCGCCCGCAGGCUCCGCGCGCGCCGCCCCGCCCCCGUCCUCCGCCUCGGCCUCUCCCUCCUCAACGACGCCUCCGCCCGCUCCCGCCUCGCCUCCGAGCAGUGGACGCUCUACGAGCAGGUGGCGGUGGCCGCCAUGGACUGCCAGCGUCUUGAUGUCGCAAAGGAUUGUAUUGGAGUCCUCUCCAGGCAGUUUCCUGGCAGCGCUCGUGUUGGCCGGCUAGAAGCCCUGCUGUUUGAGGCAAAGGGUGAUUGGGCUGAAGCUGAAAGAGCUUAUGCACUUAUCCUGGAAACCAACCCAUUUGAUCAGAUUGUCCACAAGAGAAAAAUUGCUAUUGCAAAAGCACAAGGUGACAUGUCUUUAGCAGUUGAUUAUUUGAACAAGUAUCUGGAAUUAUUCAUGGCGGAUCAUGAUGCAUGGAGAGAGCUUGCUGAAAUUUAUGUUUCCUUACAAAUGUACAAACAAGCCGCCUUUUGUUACGAGGAACUAAUAUUGGCUCAACCAACCAUUCCACUUUAUCAUCUAGCUUAUGCUGAGGUUUUGUACACACUGGGUGGUUUGGAAAACCUUCAAACCGCUAAAAAGUACUACGCGUCGACGAUCCAGUUGACUGGGGGCAAGAACACGAGAGCUCUCUUUGGCGUGUGCCUGUGCAGCGCAGCGAUCAGCCAGCUGACCAAAGGGAGGAACAAGGAGGAGGAGAGCUCGGAGCUGCAGAGCCUGGCCGCAGAGGCACUGAUGAAGGAUUACAAGCGGCGCGCGCCGUCCAUGGAGGCGCUCGUCGCGGGCAUGCUGAAGAACAUGAAGCUCUCCUGA
Molecule: ribosomal RNA, 924 nt
Filed under: Triticum aestivum (bread wheat)
Lineage: Eukaryota; Viridiplantae; Streptophyta; Magnoliopsida; Poales; Poaceae
Description: partial small subunit ribosomal RNA
Source: RNAcentral